GGGGUGUUGCAGGGACUGCUGCAUUUCCUUACUAAGCCUUGAGCUUUUAAAUGUUUAACAAUAUCCUGUAAUCCUUUAUGAGCUUCAAGCCUUAAGAGAUAUUGACUUUGAUAAGGAAAAGUGGUGGGAUUAAUAUAUCCCCCCCUAAUAAAGGUGUGGGACUUUCAGGCAUAACAAGAAAAGCAUGUGAAAAGAGCAAAGUCUCCCAAUUACAACUAGGAGGUGGGAGAAAUCUCAAGGAAGGCCAAAGGAUUUUCUUCCUUUCCCUGAGUUAUGGUGGACAUCAUUGAAUAAUUCAUGGGCUUUUUUCUAAUUCUCCUUACUCCGUCUAGAAC
Molecule: long non-coding RNA, 335 nt
Filed under: Homo sapiens (human)
Lineage: Eukaryota; Metazoa; Chordata; Mammalia; Primates; Hominidae
Description: non-protein coding lnc-ZNF33A-12:1
Source: RNAcentral